CUUUCCAUGACGUCAAAAGACGAGAUAUUCGAACAUGGUGAAACCAUUGACCCGCUAAGGAUCACCGUACAAGAUCUUGUCGUGAGUGGUCAAGGGGACACAGUGGUCACCAUCCUGAUAGAUCUGAAUGGGUUCUGGAUGUACGAGAAUCGUGAAGUACUGGUCAACGAACCUUCCGAACCAACCCCAAGCGGUUGACAUGUUCUACACUAGAUGGCGCUCACAGUUGAACUACGAGGAAAACCAGUGAUCAGGUUUUCAUUCAAACUCCACGACAGAUGGCGCUCUCGCUCUGGCUCAAUUCUACGUAUAUUCUGGUAUAUCCUGAGUGUGGGAAGGGGGCGCUGCAUGCAGUUUGGUUUUCAUUGUACAGAUAAGAGUACUGUUGUUGUUUCAUGCUUGUAUCUCCAGUACAUAAAUGGUAUGUGUAGGUUUGAUUGAGAAUACCGCCCACGUUUUUAUAGCAUCAAACAUAUUCCAAAGUGAACGGAUUGUAAAUAUGUAAAUAUUAUUGCUUGAAUAAAAAUCCAUGCAUUGAUCCCAUUGAGUUUAUCUAUA
This 558-nucleotide long non-coding RNA is filed under the name Priapulus caudatus. RNAcentral describes it as "uncharacterized LOC106819980, transcript variant X1". Lineage: Eukaryota; Metazoa; Priapulida; Priapulimorpha; Priapulimorphida; Priapulidae. The record is from RNAcentral.